This is a non-coding RNA of Capsicum annuum, 107 nucleotides long. Lineage: Eukaryota; Viridiplantae; Streptophyta; Magnoliopsida; Solanales; Solanaceae. The record is from Rfam.
UGUUGGUGAUGCGGGCAAUCUCUGAGAAGGAGCUUGAAUCUCUCCUAUGCAUGAUAUAUAUUUUCAUAUGGAUUCUACUAAAAACUUAGAAUCUUACUCCUCAACCU